Molecule: non-coding RNA, 214 nt
Filed under: Bacillus sp. (in: firmicutes)
Lineage: Bacteria; Bacillati; Bacillota; Bacilli; Caryophanales; Bacillaceae
Description: Bacillus sp. T-box sequence
Rfam family: T-box leader
About the family: Uncharged tRNA acts as the effector for transcription antitermination of genes in the T-box leader family. T-boxes are found upstream of many aminoacyl-tRNA synthetase genes and some amino acid biosynthetic genes usually in Gram-positive bacteria. The anticodon of a specific tRNA base pairs to a specifier sequence within the T-box motif, and the NCCA acceptor tail of the tRNA base pairs to a conserved bulge in the T-box antiterminator hairpin.
Source: RNAcentral
AACAAUACAAUGAAGGAACCAAGUAAGCUGUACACUGGUAUAUAAGAGAAGCACUUCCAAGGCUGAAAGAGGUGCGAUACAAAGAAUAGCUGAAUGCUAGUCCUGAGUGCAGGAAAACCCUGCCGUUUUAGCAGCGUUAAUGCGAUGAAGGUGAUGAACAUUCUAACAUGUUCAUAAUCAGGGUGGUACCGCGAGCUAAACUCUCGUCCCUGCU